Molecule: long non-coding RNA, 388 nt
Organism: Dermacentor albipictus
Lineage: Eukaryota; Metazoa; Arthropoda; Arachnida; Ixodida; Ixodidae
Source: RefSeq, a predicted model, not a curated record
AAAUAGUCUGCAACGGCAUUACGGUGAUGGGGCGUGGAACCGGCAGCAUGGCGGAAGCGCUUACCAGUUUCCUACUGCUUACGCAGUGGCCAACAAACGGCAGCGUCCAGGAAGCAUGGCUUGAGAAAAAUGCCUCCGUCAAAGCAUACUUCAACGAACUCAACAUGACGUGACCAAAUCCAAUCUCUCUUUUGGACUGCUGCCAUGACUCGUCGUGCAAUGCCCACGCUACAGUAUUCCCCUGCUACCUCUGCCACCUCCCCGCCCGCGCCCGUAGAGCAGCAUUCAUCCGGCUCUAAACUUUGAGCCUGUCUGCCAGUAUACUGAAACAUGGUAAAUUUCUGUGGUGUUAACUUUUCAACAUUAAAGUCCUAAACGAUGAGAUGUA